GCACUCUCAUGAAUCUAAGGAUGCCCUCAAC
RNAcentral lists this non-coding RNA (31 nucleotides) under Mus musculus (house mouse). The record is from RNAcentral. Lineage: Eukaryota; Metazoa; Chordata; Mammalia; Rodentia; Muridae.